RNAcentral lists this ribosomal RNA (425 nucleotides) under uncultured bacterium. RNAcentral describes it as "bacterial SSU rRNA". It matches the Rfam family "Bacterial small subunit ribosomal RNA", at positions 359 to 776 of the family's 1533-position model. The record is from RNAcentral.
GAAUAUUGCACAAUGGGCGAAAGCCUGACGCAGCAACGCCGCGUGGAGGAUGAAGGUCUUCGGAUUGUAAACUCCUGUCAGUAGGGACGAAAGUCAGGGGGUUAAUAUCCCUCUGGCUUGACGGUACCUGCAGAGGAAGCCCCGGCUAACCCAGUGCCAGCAGCCGCGGUAAUACGGAGGAGGCAAGCGUUAUUCGGAAUUAUUGGGCGUAAAGCGCGCGUAGGCGGCUUGACAAGUCAAGGGUGAAAUCCCUCGGCUCAACCGAGGAACUGCCCUUGAAACUGUCUAGCUUGGGGCCGGGAGGGGGUAGCGGAAUUCCCAGUGUAGCGGUGAAAUGCGUAGAUAUUGGGAGGAACACCGGUGGUGAAGGCGGCUACCUGGACCGGUUCUGACGCUGAUGUGCGAAAGCGUGGGGAGCAAACAGG